RNAcentral lists this transfer RNA (77 nucleotides) under Kiritimatiellia bacterium. RNAcentral's name for it is "Kiritimatiellae bacterium (gut metagenome) tRNA-Ile". It matches the Rfam family "tRNA". From Rfam's summary of the family: Transfer RNA (tRNA) molecules are approximately 80 nucleotides in length. Their secondary structure includes four short double-helical elements and three loops (D, anti-codon, and T loops). Lineage: Bacteria; Pseudomonadati; Kiritimatiellota; Kiritimatiellia. The record is from RNAcentral.
GGACCAGUAGCUCAGUCGGUCAGAGCAAGGGACUCAUAAUCCCUGGGUCGUGGGUUCAAAUCCCCCCUGGUCCACCA